CCCACAGCCAGGCAGAGCUGGGACCUCUUUGUACCACGCUGCUCCCCACCAUUCCUAGUAUUUGCAGUUCUGAAGGACACAAAGAGCUUUAUGGUGAAUGCUGGUGACCUGAAGGCAUGCUCUAUAAGAUGUGGUACAGGGCUGAAGUCAUCCAAGCAUGCAAUUUAUGACUGAGUGGCUACUUAGAGCACAAAACUCUCGGAGAGAAGCAUGGAAAAGGGGCUCAAGGACACUGCCUCUUUCAUUUCUGUGAAGUGAAAAGCAGAGUUAUCUGUACCCAAGUUUGUCACAGUGAGUAAGAUGCAGACGUCCAUGACAUGCCGUCCUUUGGAUGGAGUCACUGAAAACAAAGAAAACAUGAUGUUUUGCCUCCUGAAGAUUACUAUGAGAUGAAAUACGAGGCUUUGACACCUUCCUGCUUUAUCCACGUAGCGAUGCCUCUACUAAAACUCUCUGCAGUAUUUCCUGGCUGGCACAGCAAGUUGACCAUCAGGAAUGGAGUGAUGCUCUGACACUGGAUGAGCUCUAGCAAGUGAGAGUGCCUCGGUGCUGCACGUGUAUCACGCAACAACCGAGGUGCUGAUUGCCCUGUGCAGCCAUUCCCUGUGCCAGUGACCCCA
Long non-coding RNA from Gallus gallus (chicken), 620 nucleotides. Lineage: Eukaryota; Metazoa; Chordata; Aves; Galliformes; Phasianidae. The record is from Ensembl.